This 781-nucleotide ribosomal RNA is filed under the name Bacillus sp. ATM5. RNAcentral describes it as "bacterial SSU rRNA". It matches the Rfam family "Bacterial small subunit ribosomal RNA", at positions 62 to 823 of the family's 1533-position model. The record is from RNAcentral. Lineage: Bacteria; Bacillati; Bacillota; Bacilli; Caryophanales; Bacillaceae.
UCGAGCGGACAGAAGGGAGCUUGCUCCCGGAUGUUAGCGGCGGACGGGUGAGUAACACGUGGGUAACCUGCCUGUAAGACUGGGAUAACUCCGGGAAACCGGAGCUAAUACCGGAUAGUUCCUUGAACCGCAUGGUUCAAGGAUGAAAGACGGUUUUCGGCUGUCACUUACAGAUGGACCCGCGGCGCAUUAGCUAGUUGGUGGGGUAAUGGCUCACCAAGGCGACGAUGCGUAGCCGACCUGAGAGGGUGAUCGGGCCACACUGGGACUGAGACACGGCCCAGACUCCUACGGGAGGCAGCAGUAGGGAAUCUUCCGCAAUGGACGAAAGUCUGACGGAGCAACGCCGCGUGAGUGAUGAAGGUUUUCGGAUCGUAAAGCUCUGUUGUUAGGGAAGAACAAGUGCGAGAGUAACUGCUCGCACCUUGACGGUACCUAACCAGAAAGCCACGGGCUAACUACGUGCCAGCAGCCGCGGUAAUACGUAGGUGGCAAGCGUUGUCCGGAAUUAUUGGGCGUAAAGGGCUCGCAGGCGGUUUCUUAAGUCUGAUGUGAAAGCCCCCGGCUCAACCGGGGAGGGUCAUUGGAAACUGGGAAACUUGAGUGCAGAAGAGGAGAGUGGAAUUCCACGUGUAGCGGUGAAAUGCGGUAGAGAUGUGGAGGAACACCAGUGGCGAAGGCGACUCUCUGGUCUGUAACUGACGCUGAGGAGCGAAAGCGUGGGGAGCGAACAGGAUUAGAUACCCUGGUAGUCCACGCCGUAACGAUGAGUGCUAAGUGU